This 451-nucleotide ribosomal RNA is filed under the name uncultured bacterium. Its description in RNAcentral is "partial 16S ribosomal RNA". It matches the Rfam family "Bacterial small subunit ribosomal RNA", at positions 354 to 796 of the family's 1533-position model. The record is from RNAcentral.
GUGGGGAAUAUUGCGCAAUGGGGGAAACCCUGACGCAGCAACGCCGCGUGAGUGAGGAAGGACUUCGGUCUGUAAAGCUCUGUUAAUGUGGAAAAAUGGUAGUUGGUCUAAUAGGCCGAUUAUUUGAUGGUACACAUAGAGGAAGCACCGGCUAACUUCGUGCCAGCAGCCGCGGUAAUACGAAGGGUGCAAGCGUUGUUCGGAUUUAUUGGGCGUAAAGCGCGCGUAGGCGGACCUGCAAGUCAGAUGUGAAAUCUCGGGGCUCAACCUCGAAACUGCGUCUGAAACUACGGGUAUAGAAUCUCGGAGGGGGAAGGGGAAUAUCGCAUGUAGGGGUAAAAUCCGUAGAUAUGCGAUGGAACACCAGAGGCGAAGGCGCCUUCCUGGACGAGUAUUGACGCUGAGGCGCGAAAGCGUGGGGAUCAAACAGGAUUAGAAACCCGAGUAGUCC